CACCAGGGUGAUCCCAUAAAAGGGGCCGACCAGCACCUCCCAAUCCUGAGAAGUACAGCAACUUGGGAUAGAAGCGGGCAUGCCCAAGGUCUGUGGGGGUGAGGGCAUGUUUCCUUCUGAGCCCUGACUACCCACAUAU
Molecule: small nucleolar RNA, 139 nt
Organism: Manis pentadactyla (Chinese pangolin)
Lineage: Eukaryota; Metazoa; Chordata; Mammalia; Pholidota; Manidae
Product: small nucleolar RNA SNORA67
Exons: 1
Source: RefSeq, a predicted model, not a curated record